AACGAACGCUGGCGGCAUGCCUAACACAUGCAAGUCGAACGAGACCUUCGGGUCUAGUGGCGCACGGGUGCGUAACGCGUGGGAACCUGCCCUUAGGUUCGGAAUAACUCCCCGAAAGGGGUGCUAAUACCGGAUAAUGUCUUCGGACCAAAGAUUUAUUGACUUUGGAUGGGCCCGCGUUGGAUUAGCUAGUUGGUAGGGUAAAAGCCUACCAAGGCGACGAUUCAUAGCUGGUCUGAGAGGAAGAUCAGCAACACUGGGACUGAGACACGGCCGAGACUCCUACGGGAGGCAGCAGUGGGGAAUAUUGGAAAAUGGGCGAAAGCCUGAUCGAGCAAUGCCGCGUGAGUGAUGAAGGCCUUAGGGUUGUAAAGCUCUUUUAACCGGGAUGAUAAUGACAGUACCGGGAGAAUAAGCCCCGGCUAACUCCGUG
This 433-nucleotide ribosomal RNA is filed under the name uncultured bacterium. RNAcentral describes it as "partial 16S ribosomal RNA". It matches the Rfam family "Bacterial small subunit ribosomal RNA", at positions 29 to 507 of the family's 1533-position model. The record is from RNAcentral.